GACGGGAUAGUUUAGCGGUAGAACAAUGGAAUCAUAACCCAUAAGUCGAGAGUUCGAAUCUCUCUUCCGUCA
Non-coding RNA from Prototheca wickerhamii, 72 nucleotides. The record is from the annotation of a GenBank genome assembly. Lineage: Eukaryota; Viridiplantae; Chlorophyta; Trebouxiophyceae; Chlorellales; Chlorellaceae.